Molecule: long non-coding RNA, 778 nt
Filed under: Varroa destructor (honeybee mite)
Lineage: Eukaryota; Metazoa; Arthropoda; Arachnida; Mesostigmata; Varroidae
Description: uncharacterized LOC111251742, transcript variant X2
Source: RNAcentral
AAAUGGCUUCUCAGAUAUCCUUGACGAUUUCAUUAUGUACAUUUCAAUUUGUAAGCAUUAAUUGUUGCGCCUAUCUAUUCAUCGGUCAAAAUCGGCCCAGGAACGAAGUGCUGUCCUAUGACGCUAAUCAUUUGUGGAGACGCUCUAAAUCAUUAGAUCAAUUUGACCCGUUGAGCAUACUGGCAAGCAAAGAGAAGCAUGAGUAUAAUCAGUAGAGAAUAGGAACAAACGUCGAUUCGUAUUGCCCGUUUACAAUUCAAGUCAACGUUCGAAAAAUCGUCCGCGUGCGACUACGAGAGAGACGAAAAGACUCACUCGCGGACCAGUUUCCAGCAAAUGGGUUAAUCGAACCACAUUCUCGGUUGACGAAACUGGAACGUAAACAGUUGGUUAUACCACUGCACAGCCCCACUACAAUAUCACGGUUGUUUCCGGUGCCAAGAAGUAAAAUAGAUGAAAGAGCGAUACUUCCUCAAGCUAAACAAUACUCCGACGCAAUGGAUACGACCCAAGAGUAAGGUGAUUUCAGGUAUCCUCAAUUGACUCCCGUUGACGUCAGCUCCGUGCAACGGGCGAAGUAUUCCAUAAGACCUCUUCGUUUAAUCCAUCUGUUUGGAAGUUUGCUCUUGGAUCAGGUUAAUAGUGUACCGGUACUCCGUCCUGUCAGGAACCGUUUUCGCCAGCGUCUUCCUGGAUACAGAAUGAAAGAGACUUAUGCAGUAAAUUCAACUAAUUGAUAUUACCAUAGUCACCGUACAGUCAUACUAUAGUGGUUCAA